AAAAGAGAAAGGACAUGUAAAUAUUAUCUUCAAUAUAUACUCAAGAACAGUACUGAUCAGAAAGCAUACGUCUUGGUCUUUGGAGAAUCAGCGAUCUUCAAUGUCUCUUCAACGAGCUUCCUGGCCUUCCUGCUUCUUAUUUCAACUCUCAUGCUCUCACUCUUCUCAAUCUUAUCAUAAGGUUUCUUCAUCUUCAAACUUCUUAUUUUCGAUUUCAAGUUCAUCACCAAGCUCCCCAGUCCCAUCGUCAUCAUGGCCAGCCACUACCUUAAAGCACCUGUUAGCCACAAAAAAACAA
Populus trichocarpa (black cottonwood) is the source of this 298-nucleotide long non-coding RNA. RefSeq lists it as uncharacterized. The transcript is spliced from 2 exons. The record is from RefSeq and is a predicted model, not a curated record. NCBI's taxonomy places the organism in Eukaryota, Viridiplantae, Streptophyta, Magnoliopsida, Malpighiales, Salicaceae.